This 157-nucleotide ribosomal RNA is filed under the name Chlorocebus sabaeus (green monkey). RNAcentral's name for it is "5.8S ribosomal RNA (ENSCSAG00000023045.1)". It matches the Rfam family "Bacterial large subunit ribosomal RNA", at positions 13 to 167 of the family's 2925-position model. Lineage: Eukaryota; Metazoa; Chordata; Mammalia; Primates; Cercopithecidae. The record is from RNAcentral.
AAGGGCUAGUAAGGGAUUUCUUGGAAAUGAUAGGCGAUGAAGGACGUGCAAAUCUGCGAAAAGUAUCGGGUAGUCGAUAAGAGACCUUAAUCCGUUAAUCUCCGAAUGUAGAAAUACAGUAGAAACUAAUCUUUCUACUAUUACCGCAUGAAUUCAU